AUCCUUGUGCACGGGCAAGAUCAGUAGCAGUGAAGCCUAGCCUGAGCUCUGAUUUUUGCUGGUUGAAAACUACAACUACAUUGACGCUCCAGAUCUGCAUUUGCGGGUCAGGGAAUUUUUGGAAAUGGCUGCGAUGUCU
RNAcentral lists this small nuclear RNA (139 nucleotides) under Tuber melanosporum Mel28. Its description in RNAcentral is "U4 spliceosomal RNA". It matches the Rfam family "U4 spliceosomal RNA". Rfam says of the family: U4 small nuclear RNA (U4 snRNA) is a component of the major U2-dependent spliceosome. Lineage: Eukaryota; Fungi; Ascomycota; Pezizomycetes; Pezizales; Tuberaceae. The record is from Rfam by way of RNAcentral.